UAUUCAUGAGAAUUUCAUUUAUUUAUUUCCUCAUCAAAAUCAUCAACCUGCAUCUCGAUCCCUCGCCUACAUGUAUCUUCUAACAGAUAAUUCCAGAACAGUACAGUAAUUCAAACUGUUCUAAAAAGAAUAAACUCUUCCAUCAGCACUGGAUUUGUACCUAAAUCCUUCAAACUGCAGUUAUCAAACACUUAAUUAAGAAACCUUACCUUGUCAGCUGUCCAACUACAGUCCAAUAUCAAACCUUUGCUUUAUCUCCAAGAUUCUAGCACACCAGUUCUGCUAACAUCUACUUAGGAAUAACAUUUAUGAAAUGUAUCAGUCAGGAUUUCGGCCUCAUCAUAGUGUAGCAGUAUGGUCUGACGUCAUCUAGUGAGCUGAGGGCAUGUUCUGAUUAUGCUCAAUUAACUGCCUAUAAAAUCGUUUCGGUUCGUGUUGUGUGUGCGUUUGCUCUUUGUCCGCGAGAGAGCCGCGGUACUUCCGGGUUUAUGUGCGGAUAGUGGCAAGGGUGGACUGAGGAGCUUUGUGGGGAAGCUGCUAAUCGUUGUUCAUGAAGAGGUGCUUAUGAAACAUCUGCAUCUAUGCCUCGUGAGUCGUCGACAGGAGUGGGGCGGCCAGGGACAGCAGAUUAGCAUCUUGUGGUGGUGGGUUCCUUACCUGAUUGCAGUGCAGUGUUCACAGUGAUGUGCCGUGCUGUGGUGUGCUGUGGUGCGUGUGUGCACGUGCGAGUGCUGUGUUCUCUCUGCUUAGGAUGUCCAGCCUUCUCCCACCCUGAAGUGUUAUGUUUGUCUUUUUCUUCUUUUACUAUUUGAUGUAUUAAAUAAAUUUGAAUUCAUUGUAAAUAAAGUUGUUCUUAUUUACUCAA
This is a long non-coding RNA of Silurus meridionalis, 865 nucleotides long. RefSeq lists it as uncharacterized. The transcript has 3 exons. The record is from RefSeq and is a predicted model, not a curated record. Lineage: Eukaryota; Metazoa; Chordata; Actinopteri; Siluriformes; Siluridae.